This 250-nucleotide ribosomal RNA is filed under the name uncultured bacterium. Its description in RNAcentral is "partial 16S ribosomal RNA". It matches the Rfam family "Bacterial small subunit ribosomal RNA", at positions 355 to 622 of the family's 1533-position model. The record is from RNAcentral.
UGGGGAAUAUUGGACAAUGGGCGCAAGCCUGAUCCAGCAAUGCCGCGUGAGUGAGGAAGGCCUUAGGGUUGUAAAGCUCUUUCACCCGCGACGAUGAUGACGGUAGCGGGAGAAGAAGCCCCGGCUAACUUCGUGCCAGCAGCCGCGGUAAUACGAAGGGGGCGAGCGUUGUUCGGAUUUACUGGGCGUAAAGGGCGCGCAGGCGGCUCGUUUUGUCAGGCGUGAAAGCCCCGGGCUUAACCUGGGAACU